GACGAACGCUGGCGGCGUGCUUAACACAUGCAAGUCGAACGGAAAGGCCCUGCUUUUGUUGGGUGCUCGAGUGGCGAACGGGUGUGUAACACGUGAGUAACCUGCCCUUGACUUUGGGAUAACUUCAGGAAACUGGGGCUAAUACCGGAUAGGAGCUCCUGCUGCAUGGUGGGGGUUGGAAAGUUUCGGCGGUUGGGGAUGGACUCGCGGCUUAUCAGCUUGUUGGUGGGGUAGUGGCUUACCAAGGCUUUGACGGGUAGACGGCCUGAGAGGGUGACCGGCGAAAUUGGGACUGAGAUACGGCCCAGAAUGCAACGGGAGGCAGGAGUGGGGAAUAUUGCAGAAUGGGAGGAAGCAUGAUGCAGAAACGCGGCGUGCGGGAUGAAGGGCUUCGGGUUGUAAACAGAUUUAGAAUGUGAAGAAGAGUGAGUGACGGUAAUGGGUAAAGAAGCACCGGCUAACUACGUG
RNAcentral lists this ribosomal RNA (468 nucleotides) under uncultured bacterium. RNAcentral's name for it is "partial 16S ribosomal RNA". It matches the Rfam family "Bacterial small subunit ribosomal RNA", at positions 28 to 507 of the family's 1533-position model. The record is from RNAcentral.